AUUGCCCCAGUAACGGCGAGUGAAGCGGCAACAGCUCAAAUUUGAAAUCUGGCCCCCAGGGCCCGAGUUGUAAUUUGCAGAGGAUGCUUUGGGCGAGGUGCCUUCCGAGUUCCCUGGAACGGGACGCCAUAGAGGGUGAGAGCCCCGUCUGGUCGGACACCGAGCCUGUGUAAAGCUCCUUCGACGAGUCGAGUAGUUUGGGAAUGCUGCUCAAAAUGGGAGGUAUAUGUCUUCUAAAGCUAAAUAUUGGCCAGAGACCGAUAGCGCACAAGUAGAGUGAUCGAAAGAUGAAAAGCACUUUGAAAAGAGGGUUAAAAAGUACGUGAAAUUGUUGAAAGGGAAGCGCCUAUGACCAGACUUGGGCCCGGUGAAUCAUCCAGCGUUCUCGCUGGUGCACUUUGCCGGGCACAGGCCAGCAUCAGUUUGGCGCGGGGGACAAAGGCUUCGGGAAUGUAGCUCCCUCGGGAGUGUUAUAGCCCGCUGCGCAAUGCCCUGCGCCGGACUGAGGUACGCGCAUCGCAAGGAUGCUGGCGUAAUGGUCAUCAGCGACCCGUCUUGAAACACGGACCAAGGAGUCGUCUUCGUAUGCGAGUGUUCGGGUGUCAAACCCCUACGCGUAAUGAAAGUGAACGCAGGUGAGAGCUUCGGCGCAUCAUCGACCGAUCCUGAUGUUCUCGGAUGGAUUUGAGUAAGAGCAUACGGGGCCGGACCCGAAAGAAGGUGAACUAUGCCUGUAUAGGGUGAAGCCAGAGGAAACUCUGGUGGAGGCUCGCAGCGGUUCUGACGUGCGAAUCGAUCGUCAAAUAUGGGCAUGGGGGCGAAAGACUAAUCGAACCUUCUAGUAGCUGGUUUC
RNAcentral lists this ribosomal RNA (853 nucleotides) under Cordyceps ninchukispora. RNAcentral describes it as "LSU rRNA". It matches the Rfam family "Eukaryotic large subunit ribosomal RNA", at positions 74 to 958 of the family's 3401-position model. Lineage: Eukaryota; Fungi; Ascomycota; Sordariomycetes; Hypocreales; Cordycipitaceae. The record is from RNAcentral.